Molecule: long non-coding RNA, 420 nt
Filed under: Marmota monax (woodchuck)
Lineage: Eukaryota; Metazoa; Chordata; Mammalia; Rodentia; Sciuridae
Source: RNAcentral
GCACUGGGUUCGAACCUCAGCACCACAUAAAAAUAAAGACAAGUCCAUCAACAAUAAAAAAAUAUUAAUAAAAAAAAAAAAGAGUGUAGAUCAUGGGCAAGUUCAGUGUCCUUUGUAAGAAAGUGUGUUGUCUUUUCAUUGAUUUUUCUUGCCUCUCAUUGUGUAUCUUUUGUAUUAUAAUCUUUUUUAUCACUCAUUACAUAUAUUUUCAGGGUUGUCAUUUUUUUUGUUUGUUUUUGUUUGUUUGUUUUUGUGUGUGUGUUUGUGUGUGUACAUGGACUGUUGAGGAUUGAACCGAGGGCUAUCAAGUUCUUACUACUGAGUUACUCUGCACCCCAAGAAAAUUAGUAUUGUAGACUGGGGUUUACUUAUUUGCUGAUGUAUUGAGUGCUGGGGUUGAAGCCAGGGACUUGCUCAUGC